GAUGAACGCUGGCGGCGUGCCUAAUACAUGCAAGUCGAGCGAACGGACGAGAAGCUUGCUUCUCUGAUGUUAGCGGCGGACGGGUGAGUAACACGUGGAUAACCUACCUAUAAGACUGGGAUAACUUCGGGAAACCGUAGCUAAUACCGGAUAAUAUUUUGAACCGCAUGGUUCAAAAGUGAAAGACGGUCUUGCUGUCACUUAUAGAUGGAUCCGCGCUGCAUUAGCUAGUUGGUAAGGUAACGGCUUACCAAGGCAACGAUGCAUAGCCGACCUGAGAGGGUGAUCGGCCACACUGGAACUGAGACACGGUCCAGACUCCUACGGGAGGCAGCAGUAGGGAAUCUUCCGCAAUGGGCGAAAGCCUGACGGAGCAACGCCGCGUGAGUGAUGAAGGUCUUCGGAUCGUAAAACUCUGUUAUUAGGGAAGAACAUAUGUGUAAGUAACUGUGCACAUCUUGACGGUACCUAAUCAGAAAGCCACGGCUAACAACGUG
This 497-nucleotide ribosomal RNA is filed under the name uncultured bacterium. RNAcentral's name for it is "partial 16S ribosomal RNA". It matches the Rfam family "Bacterial small subunit ribosomal RNA", at positions 28 to 507 of the family's 1533-position model. The record is from RNAcentral.